Molecule: ribosomal RNA, 115 nt
Filed under: Staphylococcus capitis
Lineage: Bacteria; Bacillati; Bacillota; Bacilli; Caryophanales; Staphylococcaceae
Source: RNAcentral
UCUGGUGACAAUGGCAAGGAGGGCACACCUGUUCCCAUGCCGAACACAGAAGUUAAGCUCCUUAGCGCCGAUGGUAGUCGGGCUUACGUCCCGCUAGAGUAGGACGUUGCCAGGC